GACGGACGCUGGCGGCGUGCUUAACACAUGCAAGUCGAACGGAAAGGCCCUGCUUUUGUGGGGUGCUCGAGUGGCGAACGGGUGAGUAACACGUGAGUAACCUGCCCUUGACUUUGGGAUAACUUCAGGAAACUGGGGCUAAUACCGGAUAGGAGCUCCUGCUGCAUGGUGGGGGGUGGAAAGUUUCGGCGGGUGGGGAUGGACUCGGGGCUUAUCAGCUUGUUGGUGGGGUAGUGGCUUACCAAGGCUUUGACUGGUAGCCGGCCUGGGAGGGUGACCGGCCACAAUGGGACUGAGAUACGGCCCAGCCGCCUACAGUAGGCAGCAGUGGGGAAUAUUGCACAAUGGGCUGAAGCCUGAUGCAGCAACGCCGCGUGCGGUAUGACGGCCUUCGGGUUAUAAACCGCUUUCGCUUGUGACGAAGCGUGAGUGACGGUAAUGGGUAAAGAAGCACCGGCUAACUACGUG
This 468-nucleotide ribosomal RNA is filed under the name uncultured bacterium. Its description in RNAcentral is "partial 16S ribosomal RNA". It matches the Rfam family "Bacterial small subunit ribosomal RNA", at positions 28 to 507 of the family's 1533-position model. The record is from RNAcentral.